ACUCCUACGGGAGGCAGCAGUAGGGAAUCUUCCGCAAUGGACGAAAGUCUGACGGAGCAACGCCGCGUGAGUGAUGAAGGCUUUCGGGUCGUAAAACUCUGUUGUUAGGGAAGAACAAGUACAAGAGUAACUGCUUGUACCUUGACGNACUAACCAGAAAGCCACGGCUAACUACGUGCCAGCAGACCGCGGUAAU
Molecule: ribosomal RNA, 196 nt
Filed under: uncultured soil bacterium
Lineage: Bacteria
Description: partial 16S rRNA
Rfam family: Bacterial small subunit ribosomal RNA
Source: RNAcentral